ACUCAAGAAACGGACUUCAGUCCAACCUAAAGUUAACUUAAUCUGACAAAAUCCUGCCGUAACUUUAGAUCAAUUCGAAUAAGGUACAGCCUAUUUGAAACAGGAUACAACCUCAACUAAUGGGUUCUACACCAAGUACAGCCCAACCAAGUGGGCCUAAGAGCAGCCACCUUCCAAAAAGCGUCAAAGCUUAAUUAUUCUCCAACUAAAUACCCCAAACCCCAUCUAACCCUUUUACAGUAAUGAGUAAUUCUAUAUCUCUAUAGAACCUUUUAUGUUAAAACUAGUAACAAGAAGACGACCCUUCUCUUAAAUGCCAACAUAAACCAGAAAGGACACACCACUGGCAAUUAACACCCGUGAGCUACUAAUAGUAACACCAUAAAAAACCUCUAUUUAUCAAUAUGUUAACCUGACACAAGCGCAUUAAAAGAAAGAUUAAAAGGAAAAGAAGGAACUCGGCAAACAUUAACCCCGCCUGUUUACCAAAAACAUCGCCUCCUGAACAACUAUAGGAGGUCCAGCCUGCCCAGUGACUCUGUUCAACGGCCGCGGUAUCCUAACCGUGCAAAGGUAGCGUAAUCACUUGUCCUUUAAAUGCGGACUAGUAUGAACGGCACCACGAGGGUUACACUGUCUCCUUUUCCCAAUCAGUGAAACUGAUCUCCCCGUGAAGAAGCGGGGAUACACAUAUAAGACGAGAAGACCCUAUGGAGCUUUAAACAAGACAACAAUCGCGACACAAUUUAAAUUUCAGAAUUCCCCGCCCUCACCCAAGCGACAUGAUUGCUAGUUUUAGGUUGGGGUGACCGCGGAGUAUAAACCAACCUCCCUGUUGAAGGGGCCCUCCCCUAAGCAAAAACCCACAAUUUUAUGCAUCAAUAAAUUGACAUCAAUUGACCCAAUAUUUUGACCAACGAACCAAGUUACCCUAGGGAUAACAGCGCAAUCCAUUUUGAGAGCCCCUAUCGACAAAUGGGUUUACGACCUCGAUGUUGGAUCAGGGUAUCCAAGUGGCGCAGCCGCUACUAAAGGUUCGUUUGUUCAACGACUAAGACCCU
RNAcentral lists this ribosomal RNA (1061 nucleotides) under Fritziana aff. fissilis 2 SCF-2015. Its description in RNAcentral is "partial 16S ribosomal RNA". It matches the Rfam family "Bacterial large subunit ribosomal RNA", at positions 916 to 2597 of the family's 2925-position model. The record is from RNAcentral. Lineage: Eukaryota; Metazoa; Chordata; Amphibia; Anura; Hemiphractidae.